RNAcentral lists this long non-coding RNA (731 nucleotides) under Chrysemys picta bellii (western painted turtle). RNAcentral's name for it is "lncRNA (ENSCPBG00000012501.1)". Lineage: Eukaryota; Metazoa; Chordata; Testudines; Emydidae. The record is from RNAcentral.
AACAUGCCACGCGAGUUUGGGGAACUAAAGGAUGGGGGUUCUGCUCCUCUCCCUCUCCCCGCCCCCCUUUUCCUACGUCAGAACCAAAAGCCAGCACAGAAGCUGCGUGCUGCUGACUGAGCUAGAAGGGGCUUCCGGGGGAGAGAGCUUUCUGCAGAAGACGUGCAUCUAGCAGAGGGGCAGAGUGAGCGGGGAGCUGCACAGGUGCAAGCUCAGAGCAGAUGCCUGGAUAUACUGUGCCAAGUUCAUCCCUGUUAUAACUCCAUUGGUUUUGGCAAAGUUGCCUCAGAUUCUGGAAGAAACAUGAACAAAAUGAAUGGUAUCCUGUUCACUGUCUUCAUUGUUCUGAUUGCUUAUUGCAGUUCUGGAUAUGCCCUGAAGUGUUACAUCUGUGCAGAUAGUCCUUCAUUGUGUUUAACCAAUGCUACUUGCACCCAUGGAGAUGAUAGUUGCUUACAGAUCAGGUUUGGUAUGUAUACUAUCCCAGAGAAUAAAAUAAAUACAGAAAAAUUAACUCAUUCAAAGUCUGUGCAUUUCAAGUCUGGAAAUGUCCGACUCCGGUUUGUUAAUUUAGUUCACGAUAAAAGACCGUUUGAAUUACAUGCUGAUAAUAAUCAUCAGUACAAUUUGUUUUUUGAGCACCUGAUAAAGAUAAAUGGUGGUGUGUGUAUCUGAUGUACAACAUUUGUCAUAUAUCCAGGUAAAUAAAAAAGUCAAAUUGAAGUAGUUCA